Molecule: long non-coding RNA, 3753 nt
Organism: Maniola jurtina (meadow brown)
Lineage: Eukaryota; Metazoa; Arthropoda; Insecta; Lepidoptera; Nymphalidae
Exons: 2
Source: RefSeq, a predicted model, not a curated record
GUCUUAAGUCUAAGCAGAGUGCAGUCUAUAGAUCUCACCCUAAGUCUACAUGUAUAUUUUAUACAUUUGGUUUUAAAUUUUUGUGCUUAACGUAGGCUAGACUAAAAUUAUGGCUUAUUUUGUUGUACUUAUACUACACAAUCUCUAAACUAAACUAAAAUUCCGGGUCUUAAUUAUUGCUAUCCCUUUCAUUAUGUUUAUUGCAGAAAAAGAUAGCACUAGAUUUAGACUAUUUCAGUUUAAAUAUUGUGUAUAACAAAAUUAGACAAAAUGUGUGGAUUAGCUCAGCCUAAGUUAACAUUUAUUUCAAAAACAGUUAGUUUUCAUUUUAGAUAUCUUUCAAACAGAACUGAAUAAAAUAAAAUGUUUCACUAUUUGACCGAAACCCGUUCCCUAAAUUCCUUCUAUGUAAUAUUUUUCCUUGACAUAUAAAGGCUUAGGCAGACAAAUCGCGUGAUGGAAAACUUUAACGCGAUUUCAAGAAGUCAUACACAAGUGACAUGGUAACUUGCGCAAGUUAUAGACUCUUAGUCCUCCUGAGAUCUUGUAUUAUAAUACGCAGCCAUACGCCUGGUGUUCAGAUAAAGGUAUUUUUAAAUAUUACGGAAUGCGCGUUCUGUCUGCCCAGGCCUUAAAGUUGUGUACAAAAUGUAUACGUACGAAUGGUAUCUGAUAAUUCUGUCCAAUGAAAAAAUAUUAUACUGUUGAAUCUCCAAUAUUAAUCGUACAUAUUAUUAUCGUAUUAAUAAGCUUAAUUUGAUUUACAACUUUUAAAUUUGUAAGAUCGAUCGGCCACAAAAACACUAAAUAAAUUAUAAAGAAGAUCUUUCUACAUCUACUAGCGAUCAAAACUUGUAAAAAUCAAUUUUCAAAAGUUACUUUUUUAAUGAGAAAACUUGCUGCGAGUGCUAAGGUCCAUUAUCCACCACAGCGCAUGUGACUUACCAGAGUUACUAGUGGACACUUGGCCUUAGUUGCACCAAUUUUUUUAAGUAGAAUUUUCUAUAUCUAUCCUUUUCUCGUCAACCCUGAGACAAACUUGUUAAAAAGUGUCAAAAUUUUUGUCGCCGAUUCGAUCAGUAUAUUAUAUGUUUUAAGAAAUCAAUGUUUGUGCUAAUUCUAAAAAUAUUAGAGUAAUGCAUUAAACUUAAAGGAAUUGAUUAAUCGUUUGGUCGUUGGAUUUUGAACUUUAUUGUAACGUGGAUAACUUUUGAUAUUGUAUGCGAGGGCGUGAGACUGGUUGCAUAUUUUCGUAUACGUAUUUCAAGCGAAAUGCGUUUUAUAUCUCGAAGAUAGAAGAGAGGAGGUUUUUUGAUAAACGUGCUUUUUGAAUACGAACUUUUUUUUUAGAUAUCCAUCAUUAAAAAACUUAAAAAUAUUUAUGUAAACUGCUUUGACUGGGUUAAAUGUAGUCUCAUUAUUUUCACAAAGCUCUUGGCUGAAAAGGAUAGCCGAAAUUCAAUUGUUAUUAUAGUUAAGUUAAAUUUUGUUUCUUUUUUUCGUAGACUUGCCUCAUAUUAUGAUAGCUUCGGCUACGUACCAUGAGAUCAAAAAAGGCUAUUGAUUUUCUGUUAAGAAAUAAUCCGUAACAUCCGUGUUGAGAAGUUGGUGGUGUUGUCCCCCGUGCCUCGGAGAGCACGUAAAGCCGUCGGUUGUGCGCCUGAUCUGUCUCCGGUCGUGUCGGAUUGCCCGUCCCAUCAGACUAUGAGAGCAAGUCAGAGAGUGCCUGUGUUGCACUAUAAUGUGUUCUUGGUAGUUGGCUAGUCUCCAUAAGAUUGGUCGCCACGGCAAUUUAGUCGGGAGGAAUAGAGUACUUAAUACUUAUUAAUAUUUUUUUUUUUCAUUUCCGUUGGGCAUUUCUUUUUUAAAUUACUUAUAAAGAUUUAUUUUUUAUUUUUUGUUUUGUUUCCUUUGAGGAAGUUCGUAUUUAAAAGGCAUCAUAAAAAGUUUGUGUGGAAUAAAUCUUUGAAUUGCUUUUGUAAAUUUCGCUUGAAGCCAAAGAUGUAUUUUUGAUUGUGUUCACUUAAUAUUCCAAGAACUCUGUGUGUUGUGUUCGAUAUGAUGUGUAUAUUGUUUGAGCCUCGGAAUGCAGUUCUCCAAUAAACUUAUAAAAAGAGGCAUUUAUCUUGUCUACACUCAUAUCUCAAAAUCCUGGUUACAAAAUCAAAAAGAGUUAUAGUUCUGGCAAUUUACGAGGGUGCGUGAGCUGUACUUGUGGUUACAUCGUAUACAUGGGUAUUGCGUAAGUGUGCGUGCCUAACGGGCCAAUCAGCAAGCGCUCGCAAACACACACAUUUACUUUACGUAUACUGAUACGACUUAAACACAAGCAUGAGCCGUGGCUCCUCAAAUGCAAGUGCUAUACUAUUAAUGAGCCAUGACCUCACGCCAUUUAACCAUGAUUUUUUGGAUGAAAUUUGGAUUUUAAGAUAUGGGUUUAGAUAAAGUAGUGUAUGAAACUGCAAUUAAUUAGGUAUUAAGACACUCGUGUUUUAAUAACCUCUGUUAUGAAUCAGUUUCAUAAACAUAACGUUUAGGGCAGUGUCACAUUGUGCUAUAAAGUUAGCUACCGAUUAGUUGCCAAUAUUAUUAAGAAUACAAAUUUAUUGUAGUUAAAUGACACAAUUUUCUGUUUUCUGUUUAUCUUUUUUUGGACCUAAAAAGUCAUAGCAAUGUAAAAUUUAAUAAUCUUGUUUUAUUUCAAUAGACGUUUCAGUGACGUCAUUAAAAUAUUUACAUAGAAUCUUUAUCUCAAUUAGAAAAAGUAAAAGAUUAGUUUAAUCGAUUUAGUUCUGUCAAUAUUUUGGAAAAAGAUGCACAAAUCUCAAAUUUAGUUUAGUUUUAGUGAGUUAGGUAACGAAACCACCAUGCAUUUAACAAAUUGAGGUACCAAUUGAGUUGCCAAGUAAAUGUGGUUAAUUCUGUUAUACUCAAUCUCUAAACUCUAAACUAAAAUUACAGGUAGGUGAGUAUGAAUGUAUUGCUAUCGCUUUCAUAAUGCUCCAUGCGGAUAAGGAUAGCACCUAUCAAUAUAGUCUAGAGAUUGUGCACAAUAGAAUUUACCACAACGUGGCUAAUUUUGUUGUGCAUAAUAUCUAUACUAGACUAAAUUGACUAGUUUUGAUCUAGUGCUAUCCCUCUACGCGGGGAGCAUUAUAAAAGAGAUAGCAAUACAUAUAGAUCUUUCAUUUUAGUUCAGUUAGUGUGUAUAACAGAAUUUUCCACAAUUUGGCUGAUUCUGUUGAACACAAUUUCUAAACUAAAACAAAAUUGAGAUGUUUCAAUCUCGUGCUAUCCUUUUCGAAAGGGAGCAUUAUGAAAGGAAUAGCAAUAUAUUUAGACCUGUCAAUGACAGGCUGACAUUUUAGUUUAGAGAUUGUGUACAAUAGAAUAAACCUCAGUCAAUGUAAUAGAUCAACAGUUUACUUAAAUAUAGUUUUUUAAAUGGUGUACUGUGACACAGUCUUUUAAAUUAGUUUUGAAAUAUUUUUUCUGUAAUAUAAAACUACUAACUUAUAUAAAAACUUGUAUGUAUAUUUUAGAGUUUGAUUAAUAUAUAUCUUUUUAGUUGAUAAAACAAUUGUUAUUAUAUAGUUAUAUAAGCAAUAAAAACGCAUCCGCGUGUCCCUGUAUGUUGUAAUAUAAUGUUGUUGAGAGUUGAUACAACUAAGUCACUUACAUUAGUUUUAUUUAAAUAAAAAAAACAUGAAAAUGUAUUUAUUUAUUAAAUAUGAAUUAACAUUCAUGAGGGUU